CCUACGGGAGGCAGCAGUGAGGAAUAUUGGUCAAUGGGCGCGAGCCUGAACCAGCCAAGUAGCGUGAAGGAUGACUGCCCUACGGGUUGUAAACUUCUUUUAUAAAGGAAUAAAGUGAGGCACGUGUGCCUUUUUGUAUGUACUUUAUGAAUAAGGAUCGGCUAACUCCGUGCCAGCAGCCGCGGUAAUACGGAGGAUCCGAGCGUUAUCCGGAUUUAUUGGGUUUAAAGGGAGCGUAGAUGGGUUGUUAAGUCAGGUGUGAAAGUUUGCGGCUCAACCGUAAGAUUGCAAUUGAUACUGGCAGCCUUGAGUACAGUUGAGGUAUGCGGAAUGCGGGUUGUAGCGGUGAAAUGCUUAGAUAUCACGAAGAACUCCGAUUGCGAAGGCAGCUUACUAAACUGACACUGACAUUGAUGCUCGAAAGUGUGGGUAUCAAACAGGAUUAGAUACACCUGUAGUC
RNAcentral lists this ribosomal RNA (460 nucleotides) under uncultured bacterium. Its description in RNAcentral is "partial 16S ribosomal RNA". It matches the Rfam family "Bacterial small subunit ribosomal RNA", at positions 338 to 795 of the family's 1533-position model. The record is from RNAcentral.